Molecule: ribosomal RNA, 253 nt
Filed under: uncultured bacterium
Lineage: Bacteria
Description: partial 16S ribosomal RNA
Rfam family: Bacterial small subunit ribosomal RNA
Source: RNAcentral
UACGUAGGGUGCAAGCGUUAAUCGGAAUUACUGGGUUUAAAGGGUGCGUAGGCGGGCCAUUAAGUCAGUGGUGAAAGCUCCGAGCUUAACUCGGAAACUGCCAUUGAUACUAUUGGUCUUGAAUUCGGUCGAGGUUGGCGGAAUGUGUCGUGUAGCGGUGAAAUGCUUAGAUAUGACACAGAACACCGAUUGCGAAGGCAGCUAGCUAGACCGACAUUGACGCUGAGGCACGAAAGCGUGGGGAUCAAACAGG